Molecule: ribosomal RNA, 274 nt
Filed under: uncultured bacterium
Lineage: Bacteria
Description: partial 16S ribosomal RNA
Rfam family: Bacterial small subunit ribosomal RNA
Source: RNAcentral
AUACGGAGGGUCCGAGCGUUAUCCGGAAUCAUUGGGUUUAAAGGGUCCGUAGGCGGGAAUCUAAGUCAGUGGUGAAAUCUUGCAGCUCAACUGUAAAAUUGCCAUUGAUACUGGAUUUCUUGAAUUAGUGUGAAGUGGUUAGAAUGUGUAGUGUAGUGGUGAAAUGCAUAGAUAUUACACAGAAUACCAAUUGCGAAGGCAGAUCACUAACACUAUAUUGACGCUGAGGGACGAAAGCGUGGGGAGCGAACAGGAUUAGAAACCCUAGUAGUCC